UACGGAGGGGGCAAGCGUUGUCCGGAAUUAUUGGGCGUAAAGAGCUCGUAGGCGGUUUGUCGCGUCUGCUGUGAAAACUCGGGGCUUAACUCCGGGCCUGCAGUGGGUACGGGCAGACUAGAGUGCGGUAGGGGAGACUGGAGUUCCUGGUGUAGCGGUGAAAUGCGCAGAUAUCAGGAGGAACACCGGUGGCGAAGGCGGGUCUCUGGGCCGUAACUGACGCUGAGGAGCGAAAGCGUGGGGAGCGAACAGG
Molecule: ribosomal RNA, 253 nt
Filed under: uncultured bacterium
Lineage: Bacteria
Description: partial 16S ribosomal RNA
Rfam family: Bacterial small subunit ribosomal RNA
Source: RNAcentral